This 614-nucleotide ribosomal RNA is filed under the name Pluteus atromarginatus. RNAcentral describes it as "eukaryotic LSU rRNA". It matches the Rfam family "Eukaryotic large subunit ribosomal RNA", at positions 1 to 625 of the family's 3401-position model. Lineage: Eukaryota; Fungi; Basidiomycota; Agaricomycetes; Agaricales; Pluteaceae. The record is from RNAcentral.
UGACCUCAAAUCAGGUAGGACUACCCGCUGAACUUAAGCAUAUCAAUAAGCGGAGGAAAAGAAACUAACAAGGAUUCCCCUAGUAACUGCGAGUGAAGCGGGAAAAGCUCAAAUUUAAAAUCUGGCGGUCUCUGACUGUCCGAGUUGUAAACUAGAGAAGUGUUAUCCGUGCUGGACCAUGUAUAAGUCUCCUGGAACGGAGUGUCAUAGAGGGUGAGAAUCCCGUCUUUGACAUGGACUACCAGUGCAUUGUGAUAUGCUCUCAAAGAGUCGAGUUGUUUGGGAAUGCAGCUCAAAAUGGGUGGUAAAUUCCAUCUAAAGCUAAAUAUUGGCGAGAGACCGAUAGCGAACAAGUACCGUGAGGGAAAGAUGAAAAGAACUUUGGAAAGAGAGUUAAACAGUACGUGAAAUUGUUGAAAGGGAAACGCUUGAAGUCAGUCGCAUUGUCUGGAGAUCAACCUUGCAAUUGCAAGGUGUACUCUCUAGUUGAUGGGUCAGCAUCAAUUUUGAUCAUUGGAAAAAGGUCAGGGGAAUGUGGCAUCCUUGGAUGUGUUAUAGCCCUUGGUUGUAUACAGUGGUUGGGAUUGAGGAACUCGGCACUUUGUGCUAGGAUG